GACGAACGCUGGCGGCGUGCUUAACACAUGCAAGUCAAGCGAUGAAGCCCUAGCUUGCUGGGGUGGAAGAGUGGCGAACGGGUGAGUAACACGUGAGUAACCUGCCCCUGACUCUGGGAUAAGCGCUGGAAACGGUGUCUAAUACUGGAUAUGACCUAUCACCGCAUGGUGUGUGGGUGGAAAGAUUUAUCGGUUGGGGAUGGACUCACGGCCUAUCAGCUUGUUGGUGAGGUAAUGGCUCACCAAGGCGACGACGGGUAGCCGGCCUGAGAGGGUGACUGGCCACACUGGGACUGAGACACGGCCCAGACUCCUACGGGAGGCAGCAGUGGGGAAUAUUGCACAAUGGGCGCAAGCCUGAUGCAGCAACGCCGCGUGAGGGAUGACGGCCUUCGGGUUGUAAACCUCUUUUAGUAGGGAAGAAGCGAAAGUGACGGUACCUGCAGAAAAAGCACCGGCUAACUACGUGCCAGCAGCCGCGGUAA
Molecule: ribosomal RNA, 485 nt
Filed under: uncultured bacterium
Lineage: Bacteria
Description: partial 16S ribosomal RNA
Rfam family: Bacterial small subunit ribosomal RNA
Source: RNAcentral